Molecule: ribosomal RNA, 253 nt
Filed under: uncultured bacterium
Lineage: Bacteria
Description: partial 16S ribosomal RNA
Rfam family: Bacterial small subunit ribosomal RNA
Source: RNAcentral
UACGUAGGCAGCGAGCGUUGUUCGGAUUCACUGGGCGUAAAGGGUGCGUAGGCGGUCGGGUAAGUCUGAUGUGAAAUCUCACAGCUUAACUGUGAAACUGCAUUGGAUACUAUCCGGCUCGAGGAAUGGAGGGGAGACUGGAAUACUUGGUGUAGCAGUGAAAUGCGUAGAUAUCAAGUGGAACACCAGUGGCGAAGGCGAGUCUCUGGACAUUUCCUGACGCUGAGGCACGAAAGCCACGGGAGCAAACGGG